RNAcentral lists this ribosomal RNA (562 nucleotides) under Enterobacteriaceae bacterium. RNAcentral's name for it is "bacterial SSU rRNA". It matches the Rfam family "Bacterial small subunit ribosomal RNA", at positions 896 to 1458 of the family's 1533-position model. Lineage: Bacteria; Pseudomonadati; Pseudomonadota; Gammaproteobacteria; Enterobacterales; Enterobacteriaceae. The record is from RNAcentral.
AAAACUCAAAUGAAUUGACGGGGGCCCGCACAAGCGGUGGAGCAUGUGGUUUAAUUCGAUGCAACGCGAAGAACCUUACCUACUCUUGACAUCCAGAGAACUUAGCAGAGAUGGAUUGGUGCCUUCGGGAACUCUGAGACAGGUGCUGCAUGGCUGUCGUCAGCUCGUGUUGUGAAAUGUUGGGUUAAGUCCCGCAACGAGCGCAACCCUUAUCCUUUGUUGCCAGCGGUCAGGCCGGGAACUCAAAGGAGACUGCCAGUGAUAAACUGGAGGAAGGUGGGGAUGACGUCAAGUCAUCAUGGCCCUUACGAGUAGGGCUACACACGUGCUACAAUGGCGCAUACAAAGAGAAGCGACCUCGCGAGAGCAAGCGGACCUCAUAAAGUGCGUCGUAGUCCGGAUUGGAGUCUGCAACUCGACUCCAUGAAGUCGGAAUCGCUAGUAAUCGUAGAUCAGAAUGCUACGGUGAAUACGUUCCCGGGCCUUGUACACACCGCCCGUCACACCAUGGGAGUGGGUUGCAAAAGAAGUAGGUAGCUUAACCUUCGGGAGGGCGCUUACC